GGGACCACAUGACUCAGGCUGCUCUUGCUGGGGAGGAGUCCUAACGCUUGCCGGCUCCUGUGCUGCAGAGGGCACGGAUACGACAAGCGGCUGGGGCACGGCCUCACCGGGGACAGUUCCUCAUCAUCUCAUUUUCAAACCACAACUCAGCCAGUCUCUCGGCUGGGGAAGGCCAACUCCCACCUCCAUCCCCUCGUGUGACCAGGUGGAUGUCCAUCAGAUGGCCAAAACACCGGCAUCCAUCAUGACAAAGGCACGGAUUUGUUUUGCCUGGAGUACUGCUAACCAACUCACCCCGCUUCCCGCUGCUUUGCUGCUCAGUGCACACGCCAAGAGGCACUCACCUUUCGGGCAGGCACUGCAGGUUCUUAAUAAAUCUUUUUACCUGAAAGUGGAGCUGAUGCCUCUUGGCACUUGGGGUGAACUGGGCAGCCAGACUGAUUUCCUUGAGAUGGUGGUGAUGCAGUGUUGGGCUGGUGGAAACAAAAGUGGGUGGUGGUAUCAGCCACUGCAGCCAGAAGAGCUGAUGCCAAGCAGCCCCGAGCUGGCUCCCUGUGCCAGGGUUGCAGUGGAGAUCUGCAAACGCUCCCCUUCUAAUACAGCACCGUGCAGCCAAAAGGCACAACCCUUGCAGUGGUUUUCCCCUCUCUCCUUGUGGUCUAUCUUGAUCAUUUGUCCCGCCAGCCACCUCCCCGACACAUGCUGACCCUUGCUGCUCUGCAGCUCCUGGCGUGGCACGCAUGGUGGCAGGCCUUGCCCAGGA
RNAcentral lists this long non-coding RNA (763 nucleotides) under Struthio camelus australis. RNAcentral describes it as "lncRNA (ENSSCUG00000012823.1)". The record is from RNAcentral. Lineage: Eukaryota; Metazoa; Chordata; Aves; Struthioniformes; Struthionidae.